CCCUUUAGGUUCAAGAAAGACACAAAUUUCUGAGUUCUACCAUGACAGCACUCAUGUGUUGAAGACUACCAUGUCAAAAAAGAUGUGAAGAGAAUUUGGGAGGCUGAAGCAGUAGUGUCCCUUGGAUCUCCAUGAAGGGUAGCCCCAGCUACUCUGAGAUGAAGAGCAGAUGCCAGUACCUCCACAAAAAGGUGUCACACAUUCAGCAAUGAGUAUCUGAAUUUGGCAAGCAGCAAGUGGAGUCCUGGCACCAGUCGUCUGCUUCAGCAAGGAAACAUCUAUGAACUCGGGCUGUUUUAUUUUAAAAGAAGAUUAAGCUUUUAGGAUUCUUCAAGUUAGGAUUGAGUAGAUGAUUAUUUGUUAAAAACAUAGGAUUAGUUAGUCUAAGAUUACAGAAUUUAGUAUUGAACUUCAGCAAUAAAGAAGUUGCAUUCUUGUUAA
Molecule: non-coding RNA, 441 nt
Organism: Taeniopygia guttata (zebra finch)
Lineage: Eukaryota; Metazoa; Chordata; Aves; Passeriformes; Estrildidae
Source: RefSeq, a predicted model, not a curated record